This 495-nucleotide ribosomal RNA is filed under the name uncultured bacterium. RNAcentral's name for it is "partial 16S ribosomal RNA". It matches the Rfam family "Bacterial small subunit ribosomal RNA", at positions 28 to 507 of the family's 1533-position model. The record is from RNAcentral.
GAUGAACGCUGGCGGCGUGCCUAAUACAUGCAAGUAGAACGCUGAAGGAGGAGCUUGCUCUUCUGGAUGAGUUGCGAACGGGUGAGUAACGCGUAGGUAACCUGCCUGGUAGCGGGGGAUAACUAUUGGAAACGAUAGCUAAUACCGCAUGACGACAGUUAUUGCAUGAUAACUGUUUAAAAGGGGCAACUGCUCCACUACCAGAUGGACCUGCGUUGUAUUAGCUAGUUGGUGAGGUAACGGCUCACCAAGGCGACGAUACAUAGCCGACCUGAGAGGGUGAUCGGCCACACUGGGACUGAGACACGGCCCAGACUCCUACGGGAGGCAGCAGUAGGGAAUCUUCGGCAAUGGACGGAAGUCUGACCGAGCAACGCCGCGUGAGUGAAGAAGGUUUUCGGAUCGUAAAGCUCUGUUGUAAGAGAAGAACGAGUGUGAGAGUGGAAAGUUCACACUGUGACGGUAUCUUACCAGAAAGGGACGGCUAACUACGUG